RNAcentral lists this ribosomal RNA (253 nucleotides) under uncultured bacterium. RNAcentral describes it as "partial 16S ribosomal RNA". It matches the Rfam family "Bacterial small subunit ribosomal RNA", at positions 524 to 776 of the family's 1533-position model. The record is from RNAcentral.
UACGGGGGGGGCUAGCGUUGCUCGGAAUCACUGGGCGUAAAGCGCACGUAGGCGGACUCUUAAGUCGGUGGUGAAAUCCUGGAGCUCAACUCCAGAACUGCCUUCGAUACUGGGAGUCUUGAGUUCGGGAGAGGUGAGUGGAACUGCGAGUGUAGAGGUGAAAUUCGUAGAUAUUCGCAAGAACACCAGUGGCGAAGGCGGCUCACUGGCCCGAUACUGACGCUGAGGUGCGAAAGCGUGGGGAGCAAACAGG